UACGGGGGGGGCAAGCGUUGUUCGGAAUUACUGGGCGUAAAGGGCUCGUAGGCGGCCAACUAAGUCAUACGUGAAAUCCCUCGGCUUAACCGGGGAACUGCGUCUGAUACUGGAUGGCUUGAGUUCGGGAGAGGGAUGCGGAAUUCCAGGUGUAGCGGUGAAAUGCGUAGAUAUCUGGAGGAACACCGGUGGCGAAGGCGGCAUCCUGGACCGAUACUGACGCUGAGGAGCGAAAGCCGGGGAGCAAACGGG
RNAcentral lists this ribosomal RNA (252 nucleotides) under uncultured bacterium. RNAcentral's name for it is "partial 16S ribosomal RNA". It matches the Rfam family "Bacterial small subunit ribosomal RNA", at positions 524 to 776 of the family's 1533-position model. The record is from RNAcentral.